RNAcentral lists this ribosomal RNA (253 nucleotides) under uncultured bacterium. RNAcentral's name for it is "partial 16S ribosomal RNA". It matches the Rfam family "Bacterial small subunit ribosomal RNA", at positions 524 to 776 of the family's 1533-position model. The record is from RNAcentral.
UACGUAGGGUGCGAGCGUUGUCCGGAAUUAUUGGGCGUAAAGGGCUCGUAGGCGGUUUGUCGCGUCGGGAGUGAAAACCAGGUGCUUAACACCUGGCUUGCUUUCGAUACGGGCAGACUAGAGGUAUUCAGGGGAGAACGGAAUUCCUGGUGUAGCGGUGAAAUGCGCAGAUAUCAGGAGGAACACCGGUGGCGAAGGCGGUUCUCUGGGAAUGACCUGACGCUGAUGCGCGAAAGCUAGGGGAGCAAACAGG